RNAcentral lists this long non-coding RNA (231 nucleotides) under Cucumis sativus (cucumber). Its description in RNAcentral is "long non-coding RNA (CSAT_LNC000303)". The record is from RNAcentral. Lineage: Eukaryota; Viridiplantae; Streptophyta; Magnoliopsida; Cucurbitales; Cucurbitaceae.
UUAUAAUGUAUAUAUAUUAAAGUGUUGGCUAUUUUCUUGUACAUUGGUGUGAAACUUGUAUAAUUUCAAAUUUGUCAUUCUCAGCUACAUUAUUGUCAUUCUAAUGGUUCGUGUAAUGGUGGAGCUGCAUGGAGAACAUAAUAAAACUAUAGGAAAUUGAGAAAUGUGAUAGUUAAUAGUUGUUGUAAAUUGGAGAACGAUGACAGUUAUUUAACAAAAUAAAUUGUCACG